This 72-nucleotide transfer RNA is filed under the name Bos taurus (domestic cattle). It matches the Rfam family "tRNA". From Rfam's summary of the family: Transfer RNA (tRNA) molecules are approximately 80 nucleotides in length. Their secondary structure includes four short double-helical elements and three loops (D, anti-codon, and T loops). The record is from Rfam by way of RNAcentral. RNAcentral also lists the same sequence under 2 other names. Lineage: Eukaryota; Metazoa; Chordata; Mammalia; Artiodactyla; Bovidae.
UCCCUUGUGGCUCAGCUGGUAAAGAACCUGCCUGCAAUGUGGGAGACCUGGGUUUGAUCCCUGGCUUGGGAA